GAUGAACGCUGGCGGCGUGCCUAAUACAUGCAAGUCGAGCGAACAGACGAGGAGCUUGCUCCUCUGACGUUAGCGGCGGACGGGUGAGUAACACGUGGAUAACCUCCCUAUAAGACUGGGAUAACUUCGGGAAACCGGAGCUAAUACCGGAUAAUAUAUUGAACCGCAUGGUUCAAUAGUGAAAGACGGUUUUGCUGUCACUUAUAGAUGGAUCCGCGCCGCAUUAGCUAGUUGGUAAGGUAACGGCUUACCAAGGCAACGAUGCGUAGCCGACCUGAGAGGGUGGUCGGCCACACGGGAACUGAGACACGGUCCAGACUCCUACGGGAGGCAGCAGUAGGGAAUCUGCCGCAAUGGGCGAAAGCCUGACGGAGCAACGCCGCGUGAGUGAUGAAGGUCUUCGGAUCGUAAAACUCUGUUAUUAGGGAAGAACAAAUGUGUAAGUAACUAUGCACGUCUUGACGGUACCUAAUCAGAAAGCCACGGCUAACUACGUG
This 497-nucleotide ribosomal RNA is filed under the name uncultured bacterium. Its description in RNAcentral is "partial 16S ribosomal RNA". It matches the Rfam family "Bacterial small subunit ribosomal RNA", at positions 28 to 507 of the family's 1533-position model. The record is from RNAcentral.